This 235-nucleotide ribosomal RNA is filed under the name Microbacterium thalli. Its description in RNAcentral is "partial 23S ribosomal RNA". It matches the Rfam family "Bacterial large subunit ribosomal RNA", at positions 135 to 362 of the family's 2925-position model. The record is from RNAcentral. Lineage: Bacteria; Bacillati; Actinomycetota; Actinomycetes; Micrococcales; Microbacteriaceae.
CAGUUAUGUGGUGUCACCUGCAUCUGAAUUCAUAGGGUGCAGGGGGUGACGCGGGGAAGUGAAACAUCUCAGUACCCGCAGGAAAAGAUAUUCCGUGAGUAGUGGCGAGCGAAAGCGGAUGAUGGUUAAACCGUUUCCGUGUGAUACCCGGCAGGGGUUGCGGUUGCGGUGUUGUGGGGCGCAUCUUUCUCACGUCUGCCGGCGUGGGGCGCAGUGAGAAACUCGUGCGGUAGCU